RNAcentral lists this ribosomal RNA (459 nucleotides) under uncultured bacterium. RNAcentral's name for it is "partial 16S ribosomal RNA". It matches the Rfam family "Bacterial small subunit ribosomal RNA", at positions 338 to 795 of the family's 1533-position model. The record is from RNAcentral.
CCUACGGGAGACAGCAGUGAGGAAUAUUGGUCAAUGGGCGCGAGCCUGAACCAGCCAAGUCGCGUGAGGGAAGAAGGUACUGCGUAUUGUAAACCUCUUUUGUCAGGGAACAAAGGCGGGGACUAGUCCCCGGAUGAGGGUACCUGAAGAAAAAGCAUCGGCUAACUCCGUGCCAGCAGCCGGGGUAAUACGGAGGAUGCGAGCGUUAUCCGGAUUUAUUGGGUUUAAAGGGUGCGCAGGCGGCAUUUUAAGUCAGCGGUAAAAGGGCGGGGCUCAACCCCGGCGAGCCGUUGAAACUGGCGGGCUUGAGUGCGCGAGAAGUACGCGGAAUGCGUGGUGUAGCGGUGAAAUGCUUAGAUAUCGCGCAGAACCCCGAUUGCGAAGGCAGCAUACCGGCUCGACACUGACGCUGAGGCACGAAAGCGUGGGUAUCGAACAGGAUUAGAUACCCGAGUAGUC